This 1458-nucleotide long non-coding RNA is filed under the name Sus scrofa (pig). RNAcentral describes it as "lncRNA (ENSSSCG00005023732.1)". Lineage: Eukaryota; Metazoa; Chordata; Mammalia; Artiodactyla; Suidae. The record is from RNAcentral.
UUUUUUUUUUUUGCUUUUUACGGCCGCAGCUGUGGCAUAUGGAGGUUCCCAGGCUAGGGGCUGAAUCAGAGCUGUAGCUGCUGCCCUACACCACAGUCACAGCAACGUGGGAUCCAAGCCACAUCUGCAACCUACACCACAGCUCGAGGCAAUCCUUAACCCACCCAGCAAGGCCAGGGAUCGAACCUACAUCCUCAUGGAUCCCAGUCGGGUGUGUUAACCACUGAGCCAGGAAGGGAACUCCUGGAUGUUUCUUUAAAAGGGCUCUUCCUUAGGUUAUGCAUCAAGAGAAAAAUCCCCCUGGAAAUAUCCUCUCUGGUAAGGGUGGGUAUGAAGAGAGAGCAAAAGUUGAGUGAAUCAAAGUUUAAUUUCUAAAAUCCCUAAUAAACAAAUGUUUACUUAAAACAAUGUCCUGGGGAGGGGGAUAGACUGGGGGUUUGGGAUAGAAAUGUCCUAAAAUUAGGUUGUGAGGAUGGUUGUACAACUAUAAACAUAAUAAAAUUCAUUGAAUUAUUUUUAAAAAUCUAAAAAAAGUCAAAAAUCCACUGAAAUCUAUGCCAUUUUUUGGUGGCUGUGUUGGACUCACGUAUGGGGGCCAAAUAAAUAAAGCAAGCCAAGCCUUCCAUACACUUUUCUCAAUGAUAAAGUUUCCAAGAUGAUGUACUAAUUAAAACACAUUCUGGUUGACUCUGGAAGUAAAAUACAGCCUGUCUGCCAGGAAAAAAAAAAAAAAGUACACAUUCUUGAUUUCCUCAGAACACACAGUCAUUGCUAUGGGAAAGCAGAGGGCCCACCCGACUGAGAAAUAUGCCCCCACCACACAAGCACGUGGGUUCCUGACUGUCAAGGUCCUGAUAGUAGACAGUAAGAAUCAGGGGACUAUUUUUCUACCUCUAAACAUUUUCGGGUCUAAGAACCUUUUUUUGUUACACUGUUUUUCACUUCCAGGGGUGUUGUCCAAAAGUAAUCAAACAAAAAAAUUAAACUCUGCAAAUUGUCCUCAAAUCAGUGGUUCUAAGAAGCACCAGACUCAAGCAACAGCCUUUCCUGCAAAGUGUCCCUGGACACAAACUCAGCUCUGCGCUCUCCCUGCCUUUUCCGCGCCUACUGGGAACUCAGUUCUUGCUCUCCCAUCCAGUAUCCUCAACAGCAGAGCUCCAACGAGUAAUUGGCUCUGCCACCAAUUUUCAACCUGGCAAGGUGCCUCCUCCACGGGCGGCACUGGGCAAGAGCAGCACCGGGACAAGAGCAGCACCAGCGUUGCCCCAACGCUGACGCUCAGCAAGAGCCUGCGGUUCGUGCAGCCCACGGUGCGCGGGGUUCAGUUAGUUACCAGUAUAACUUUAUUUAUUUAUUUUUUGUCUUUUUAGGGCCGCACCUGUAGCACAUGGAGGUUCCCAGGCUAGGGGUCUAAUCAAAGCUACAGCUGCCGGCCCACACCACAGCCACAGCAACGCC